GACGAACGCUGGCGGCGUGCCUAAUACAUGCAAGUAGAACGCUGAAGAGAGGAGCUUGCUCUUCUUGGAUGAGUUGCGAACGGGUGAGUAACGCGUAGGUAACCUGCCUUGUAGCGGGGGAUAACUAUUGGAAACGAUAGCUAAUACCGCAUAACAAUGAGUGACACAUGUCAUUUAUUUGAAAGGGGCAAUUGCUCCACUACAAGAUGGACCUGCGUUGUAUUAGCUAGUAGGUGAGGUAACGGCUCACCUAGGCGACGAUACAUAGCCGACCUGAGAGGGUGAUCGGCCACACUGGGACUGAGACACGGCCCAGACUCCUACGGGAGGCAGCAGUAGGGAAUCUUCGGCAACGGGGGCAACCCCGACCGAGCAACGCCGCGUGAGUGAAGAAGGUUUUCGGAUCGUAAAGCUCUGUUGUAAGUCAAGAACGAGUGUGAGAGUGGAAAGUUCACACUGUGACGGUAGCUUACCAGAAAGGGACGGCUAACUACGUGCCAGCAGCCGCGGUAAUACGUAGGUCCCGAGCGUUGUCCGGAUUUAUUGGGCGUAAAGCGAGCGCAGGCGGUUUGAUAAGUCUGAAGUUAAAGGCUGUGGCUCAACCAUAGUUCGCUUUGGAAACUGUCAAACUUGAGUGCAGAAGGGGAGAGUGGAAUUCCAUGUGUAGCGGUGAAAUGCGUAGAUAUAUGGAGGAACACCGGUGGCGAAAGCGGCUCUCUGGUCUGUAACUGACGCUGGGGCUCGAAAGCGUGGGGAGCGAACAGG
Molecule: ribosomal RNA, 765 nt
Filed under: uncultured Streptococcus sp.
Lineage: Bacteria; Bacillati; Bacillota; Bacilli; Lactobacillales; Streptococcaceae
Description: bacterial SSU rRNA
Rfam family: Bacterial small subunit ribosomal RNA
Source: RNAcentral